UAAAACCCGAAUAACACAUAACUUGCCCACCCUUUCCACUCGUAUACUGUCAAUAAGCAAGUUUUGUGUAAUGCUUGACUGGGUAUCGAUGUUUAUAUGUGUGAUUUUAGGUUAGGAAGCGAUGGAGACAUUGUGCCGAGUGGGGUCAUGUGGUAACGCUUAUUCUCGGCCCUCCGCGCGUGCUGCCUCAGGGCUUGUGGGUGGCUGCUGACCGCUGCUGUUUGUGUUUUGGGGGAACUCGUGGCUCGUGGGUAGUUUGUCAUAGGUAGUGAUGGUGGAUUGACGUCGUGGUGAGGCGGAAUAGAAGAACGAAUUUAGAGUGUUUGAGAGUGUUGUCGUGUGUAGGGGAAGAGAAAGAGUGACAUAAAAGAUUGUGGAUAUAUUGUCAUUACUACUGUGAGGCGAAUUUUUUAUUGUUAUUAUCGUGGUGAGGCUGAAAAGGACCAGUUGAGUGUUUUCAUACGUAAUGGAUUGAUGGAUACGUAUUUGAGUGUCGUGUGUAGGAAAAAGAAAAGUUGACAAGACGGAGCAGUUAUUAUUAUUAUUAUUAUUAUUAUUAUUAUUAUUAUUGCUACUGAUAUGUGUCGGGCUGUGACAGUGAUCGAAAAAUAGGAAUGAAGACUUUCGUGUGUAUUCCACCGUGACAAAAACUAAAAAAAAGAAAGGAAACUAAAGGAAAACAAAAAAUCGUUAAAAAGGAAAAGAAAAACCAGAAAAUAAUAAUGAAAACACUCCAUUCUUCACAUCAGCAGGACAUUCCCACACUAAAGAAAAAAAAAAUAGUCGUGUCAAAAAAUUAAAAAGAAAAGGAAAAGAAAAAAACAAUAAACAAUGACAACACACUCCUUUCUCCACAUACUCAUGACAUUCCCACACUCAAGAAAAUAAAAAAAAUAAUCGUGUCAAGAAAAUAAGAAAGGAAAGAAAAGAAAAAGAAAAACAAUGCCAGCAAACUCCAUUCUCCACAUAAUCAGGACAUUCCCAAACCACCUUGCAUAACAGCGACGGAUCAAGCAGAAGACAACCUUUUUCUUCACUAAGUCCAAGAGUAACCAGAGUAAAGAAAAAAAGAGAGAUAAAGAAAUUGAGAAAAAAAAUUGAACGAGAUGAAUACGUGACUGAGACUGAACGGAGACUGAUACUGUUGUUGUUGGUUGUGGUGGUUGUGGUGGUGGUGAUAGUGGUGGUGACUGUGGUGGUGUUAUAUUCCUGGACACACGCGACUGAGCAACUCAACACCAAACCACCACACGUAUAAAGGAGGUUGCCGGAGUUGAUGGUGGUGAUGAGACUGGUGUUGCAAGCCUGUCUGCAGCAAAUCAACACCCACCACCACACGUAAAGGAGGUUCUCUUGUGUUGAUACUGGUGUUGCAACCCUAAGCUCAACACCCAAGACACGGAAGACACACACAACGCCGUCCUCAGUAGUGGAGUUGAGGUGGAGGUGACUGUGGUGGUGUUGAACGAGAGAAAAUGGUUGUAAAGUUUCCUCAAGGACCUGGAGGAAUGGAGGGGAAGGAGGGAAUAUAUCUCUCCCCUCUCAUGAUGGAGGAAGGAGGAGGAGGAGGACGAGUUAUAGUGCCAGAAAGAGGAGGAGGAGGAAGGGAGCCAGUGAUGCCAACCAGUCCCAGCAAAAUGUCCUUCCUGGAGUAUUACCAACAGCUCAACUUGGACCGGUACCUUCAGGCUGAGAGGCGGCAGAGCUCUGGAGGCUGCAUGGCGUCAGCAUGGCGGGUGAUCUCGUUCUUCCUGGUGGUGUUCGUGCUGCCCACGGUGCUCAUCUCCCUGCCGCUGUACGCACGCUACCACCUCUACCACACCAGGCACAUCCCCAUGACGGAGACGGACACGCGGGCACUCGACUACGCCGUGUCUUCCUUCUGGUGCCAGGGCCAGCGCGUCAGCACCAACGGCACCCUGGACGCAUACCUGGUCUCCGGCACCCCCAAGCUGAAGGAGGAGCGGCGCCACGUCACCCUCAAGAGGAUGCUCACCCUGCAGCACGAUGACAUUGAGUACUGGGGCGUGUACCUCCUCCAGGGGUCGUCCUUCACUGUGUCCUCAACUGCCAGGUGGCCAGGCGCGGUGUUACUGGUGGCCAAGGGAGAGGAGAACCUGCGCAAGUGUUUCUACCGAGAGGACAAACUGGAGGCGCAGCUCAACGAGGGACCAGUCAAGACAGUCUACAAGAGUCCGCCUGACGUGGAUGACCUGCCCGGGGAGAUGGUGGUGGAGGAGGAGCACCACGGGGAUGUCGGUGGAGGUGAGGUGUUCGACGGGGAAGAGGACGAGGUCUUACCGCUGACUAACCUGGGAAUGAGGCGAGAGAUGGAGGUGCCGAAGGUGGAGGUGGUGGAGGUGCCGCACCCUAAGCUUGGCCUGAGGAACAAGAGCGCCGAGGCACCCAAGCGGAAGAAUGGCAAGGGGAAGAAGGGCAGGAAGGGGAAGAAGAACCGGCAGAACAAGAACGAGACGCACCACCGACGCGCCAGGAGGUCCCAGGCUGUCGUGUCCUCCCUGCCCCCAGUACCCGUCACCUCCCCCACCCCCACACCACCCCCCGCCCUGCCCUCGCUGUCCCCCGGCAAGCUAGACAUGCUGCACCACUUCAAUGACACGCUGUCCGUCACCACCGGGAACUCCUCCUUCUCAUCCAGCGAGGAGUUCCUGGAGCAGUGCAAGGACUCCGUGCUGGUGGUGGACCUGACACCCUCGCUGGACUGGGAGUGGCGCCUCGACACUGACACCAUCCUGGCCACCAACUCCUGGACGGUGCCGGUGGACUCCUCAGACUACUACUACUUCAUCUUCACCUCGGACAACUCCAUCGAGCUGAACCACCUGGGAUUCCGCCUGGACCUGCAGCGCUCCACCUACGACACGGCUGCGGCGGUGGAGGCCUGCACCAACGCCACCGAGUGCAUCUUCCCGCUGGCCUUCACCGGGGGCCAGGCCGUGGUGGUGGAGGUGCCGGCCGCGGAGAGCCUCACCGACCUGCACUCCUUUGAGGUGACCACGGCGUGCCAGCCCAGGGUGCCGGUCUACAUGGUGUUCAUCCUGCUGGUGCCGUUCAUCAUCCUGCUCUUUGCCUUCCAGUAGCAGGCCAGCACCACUCAGGAUGGAGGUGCUAGCUGGGUGCCACGCCUCAGGCUAUGACAAACUGGCACUGGCAUCAGAGGGAGGAUGCCAACAGGCGUCCCCAUGCCUCCUAUGGGCGUGGGGACCGACAUCAAGGCAGAGCAGACAGGGCGGAGACGCAACAAAGUCUCUGGAAGGGACAACAAAGGCUCCACUGGUUGUCUGUGCCACUGGAAAAGCCUAAAGUGCAGCGCUUGUGCCAGUACAGCAUUGCAUCGACUGUCAAGUGGUUUAGUGGCCCUGAGCCCUGUCCUGCUGCUGCCCCGGCCUCACUGAUGCUAGUCAUUGCCUCAGCACUACUCAGGACGCUGCUCUUGGUCUUGAUUCUGGGGUGCAAAGGGGCGGAAAUGUUCUUUAGGACACACAAACACAGAGCCUGACCGAACUAGUGGGUGAAGGGAUGCCCAGAAACUAUAGAGUGAGCCGUGUUGUUGUACUAUAAAGACAGAACAAGCUAGUAGGUGAUUGGAUGCCCAGAAACAGUAUACAGUAAGCAGUGUUGUUUUACUAUACAGAACAAGCUAGUAGGUGAUUGGAUGCCCAGAAACAAUGUACAGUAAGCAGUGUUGUUCUUGCUAUGGACAGAAAAAGGGUUAUACAGAUGAAAACAGUGACAGAGUAAGCAGUUUUUAUGACAUGGACACAGAGAAAAGGGAUAAAUCAAUAAAAACAGUGAUAUGGUAACCAGUUUUUAUGCUAUAGAAACAGAAAGAAAGGGUUGAAUAGAAGAAAACAAUGCCUGUGUGAAUUUCUGCUCCUCCUGUAUAGAAAACCAGAAUGUUGAAAGAUGAAAAUGGUUCCUGAGAUGUCUUAUAGAAGGGCUUGAUAGACAGAUAGGUGAAAACAAUGCCUGUGUGACUCUGCUCCUCUUGUAUAGAAAACCAGAAUGUUGAAAGAUGAAAAUGGUUCCUGAGAUGUCUUAUAGAAGGGCUUGAUAGACAGAUUGAUGAAAACAAUGCCUGAGAUUUGCUACUCUGGUUAAGAAAAGCGGAUAUUGAGAAAGAAAGAUGAAAAUAUGGUCCCUCAGAUGUCUGAAAGUGUCUUGUAGAUGGAGUUCAGUCCCAGGAAGGAUGUUAAAAGUGGCGAUUACUUGAUACAGUGUUUAUAAAGCUUUGACAACUCGCUGGUGACCUUAUAGAAGAUACAGACAGAAUAGUAUAUGGUUCCAGAGGUGUCAAUUCUCCUCUGUGGAUGGAGUUCAGUUCCAGGAAGGAUGUUACAGUGGAGGUUUACUCAUUACAGCGUUUAUGAACCUUCCUGUCAACUUGCUUGGGACCUUAGAGAAGAUAGUGGCACUGUUAGAAGGGAGGAGAAAGGAUAUGUGGUCCCUGAGGUGUCUAAAGUGUCUUGUAGAUGAAGUUAAGACCCUGGAAUAAUGUAUAAGGUGACAGUUACUUGAUACAGCGUUUAUGAACCUUCCUGUCGACUUGCUUGGGACCUUAGAGAAGAUAGUGGCACUGUUAGAAGGGAGGAGAAAGGAUAUGUGGUCCCUGAGGUGUCUAAAGUGUCUUGUAGAUGAAGUUAAGACCCUGGAAUAAUGUAUAAGGUGAUAGUUACUUGAUACAGCGUUUAUGAAGCUUCCUUAUGGCUUGCUGGGACCUUAGAGAAGAAAAAAACAUUGUUGGAAGGGCAGGGAGAGGGAGUGAGAAGUGAAAUGUGGUUCUGGAGGUGUCUUAUGUGUCUUGUAGAGGAAGUUACAACCCACAAAUGAUGUAUAAGGUGACAGUUACUUGAUACACUGUUUAUGAUGCUUCCUUAUGACUUGCUGGGACCUUAGAGAAGAUAAAGACACUGUCAGAAAGGAAGGAAAUGGAAAGAAAAGGAGGGAUAAGCUUUGCCAUAGAGAAGAAAAGGACAGCAUUAGAAGGGAAAGGAAAGGGAAAGAGAAGGAGUGAUAAGCUUUGCUAUUGAAAAGAUAAGGACACUGUUAGAAGGGAAGGAAAAAGGGAAUGAAAAGAAAUAAUAAACUUUGCCAUAGAGAAGAAAAGGACAGCAAUAGAAGGGAAGAGAAUGAGAAAGAGAAGGACCAAGAAGCAGUGUUUACGAGCCUUCCUGAUGACUUGCUUGGGACACAGAGAAGUUAGACAGCGGGUGAAGGGAAGAGAGAGUGAUUGAGAAGGAGGGACAAUCUUUGCCAUAGAGAAGAUAAAGACACUGUUAGAAGGGAAGAGAAAGAGACUGAGAAGGACCAAGAAGCAGUGUUUACGAGCCUUCCUGACGACUUGCUUGGGACACAGAGAAGUUAGACAGCGGGUGAAGGGAAGAGAGAGUGAUUGAGAAGAAGGGAGAAUCUUUGCCAUAGAGAAGAUAAAGACACUGUUAGAAGGAAAGAGAAAGAGACUGAGAAGGACCAAGAAGCAGUGUUUACGAGCCUUCCUGACGACUUGCUUGGGACACAGAGAAGUUAGACAGCGGGUGAAGGGAAGAGAGAGUGAUUGAGAAGAAGGGAGAAUCUUUGCCAUAGAGAAGAUAAAGACACUGUUAGAAGGGAAGAGAAAGAGACUGAGAAGGACCAAGAAGCAGUGUUUACGAGCCUUCCUGACGACUUGCUUGGGACACAGAGAAGUUAGACAGUGUGUGAAGGGAAGGGAGAGUGAAUGAGAAGUGAUAAUCUUUGCCAUAGAGAGACUGCAUUAGAGUGAGAAGGCCCAAGAAAGCUUUGCCAUUACGUUACUGAACUCAACGAAGAGAGAAAACCUUUGUGAUAUUCUCUGUGGUUAUGUUUUUCUUUGUAAUUCUGUAGAGUAUUAAUUAUUUAAAUCUCCUCUUGUUACUGUUGUUUCCUGUAGACUUAGAUAGGCCAGGCAGUGAAGGGCUUGGCGGGGGGAUGUUAAGUGUGUGUGUGUGUGUGUGUGUGUGUGUGUGUGUGUGUGUGUGUGUGUGUGUGUGUGUGUGUUCUGGAUUCAUGUGUUCAUUAUAUUCCUGUUUCAUCACAUACAACAUACAACAUGCAAGAUACAGUUUAGCCAUACAACAUACAUUAUACAGGAACUCAACAGGUCACAGGUCAAGAGUGUAUAGUGUCUGUAUUAACUGUUCCUUAGGUAGUAUUCAGUAUAGGAGAGGAGAAAAGGUCAGGUCAGGUCAUCCACUUAGACACAGGGACAACACACGACUUACAGGAACUCAACAGGUCACAGGUCAAGAGUGUAUAUUGUGUGUAUUAACUGUUCCUUAGGUAGUAUUCAGUAUAGGAGAGGGAGGGUCAGGUCAGGUCAUCCAGAGGGACAUCACAGACCCAGAGUAGCCAAGGUGUUUCCUGCAUCAACAGAACACAACUGAAGACUGACUACUGUGUUUCAUCAUUAUCAAGAUCUCAUAGCCAUUCACUUUAUGUUAUUUUGGGUGCCUUUAACAGUGCCUUAUAUAAGUGUGUGGUCAAGACUGUUACUGCUGUGUGUGUGUGUGUGUGUGUGUGUGUGUGUGUGUGUGUGUGUGUGUGUGUGUGUCAUU
This is an RNA transcript of Eriocheir sinensis (Chinese mitten crab), 6593 nucleotides long. RefSeq lists it as uncharacterized. The record is from RefSeq and is a predicted model, not a curated record. NCBI's taxonomy places the organism in Eukaryota, Metazoa, Arthropoda, Malacostraca, Decapoda, Varunidae. The transcript is spliced from 6 exons.